AUCUCAGUAGCUCAGCGGUAGAGCGGUCGGCUGUGAACAACUCACUGGAAAAAAAAGGUUCGAUUCCUGCUUGAGAUU
Molecule: transfer RNA, 78 nt
Filed under: Amborella trichopoda
Lineage: Eukaryota; Viridiplantae; Streptophyta; Magnoliopsida; Amborellales; Amborellaceae
Rfam family: tRNA
About the family: Transfer RNA (tRNA) molecules are approximately 80 nucleotides in length. Their secondary structure includes four short double-helical elements and three loops (D, anti-codon, and T loops). Further hydrogen bonds mediate the characteristic L-shaped molecular structure. tRNAs have two regions of fundamental functional importance: the anti-codon, which is responsible for specific mRNA codon recognition, and the 3' end, to which the tRNAs corresponding amino acid is attached (by aminoacyl-tRNA synthetases). tRNAs cope with the degeneracy of the genetic code in two manners: having more than one tRNA (with a specific anti-codon) for a particular amino acid; and 'wobble' base-pairing, i.e. permitting non-standard base-pairing at the 3rd anti-codon position.
Source: Rfam by way of RNAcentral